AAUGAGAGAGCAUCAUAUAUAACAAGGCCAUUAGAAAUGAGAGAGCAUCAUAUAUAACAAGGCCAUUAGAAAUGAGAGAGCAUCAUAUAUAACAAGGCCAUUAGAAAUGAGAGAGCAUCAUAUAUAACAAGGCCAUUAGAAAUGAGAGAGCAUCAUAUAUUACAAGGCCAUUAGAAAUGAGAGAGCAUCAUAUAUUACAAGGCCAUUAGAAAUGAGAGAGCAUCAUAUAUAACAAGGCCAUUAGAAAUGAGAGAGCAUCAUAUAUAACAAGGCCAUUAGAAAUGAGAGAGCAUCAUAUAUAACAAGGCCAUUAGAAAUGAGAGAGCAUCAUAUAUUACAAGGCCAUUAGAAAUGAGAGAGCAUCAUAUAUUACAAGGCCAUUAGAAAUGCCAGAUGGGCUCAUUUUACUAACUUGAUCACCAAUAAUCAGAAUAAUUAGAGAGUGCUCUUCUCCACCAUUGAUGGCCUGAUAAAUCCUACCUCCGCAAACCUAUGUGAACUUUCCUCUACAUGUAAAUGUGAUGAGUUUACAGCAUAUUUCAGAGAUAAGAUAUCCAACAUUAGACUGGGUAUCAGUCAAGACCUGAUGAGAAGUCUGAUGAUAUGUGCACUAGCCUACCACACAAAGGCACUAUGGAUUUAUUUUCCCUGGUUGACACAGACAUGGUCAGGAAAGUGACAUCACAACUUGACCUUCCACCUGCCUUCUCCAUCCUAUCCCCACCACCUUCUUCAAAACAGUUUUUAAUGGCAUAUCUGAAGAAGUGCAAGCUAUUGUUAAUCACUCCCUGUUUAUGGGAACUUUCCCCACUGCACUAAAAACUGAUAUGGUGAAACCCCUUCUGAAGAAAAGGAUUCUAGAUUCUUCAGCUCUUAGAAGUUAUCAGUCUCCAACCUCUUAAGCAGAAUUCUAUUAGUUGGUGUUCCAACAGCUAAAUUAGAUUCUAGAUUCCUCAGCUCUUAGAAGUUAUCAGUCUCCAACCUCUUAAGCAGAAUUCUAUUAGUUGGUGUUCCAACAGCUAAAUUAGAUUCUAGAUUCCUCAGCUCUUAGAAGUUAUCAGUCUCCAACCUCUUAAGCAGAAUUCUAUUAGUUGGUGUUCCAACAGCUAAAUUAUUACCUCAAAUGAAGUUAGAGCACUGAUUAUGCUUUUGAAUCCCAAGGAGCACCAUUUUGUUUCUCUCCGUCACCCACGCUCACUUUAAACAUUUGGAUGAUAGUUAUAUAAAAGACAUAAUUAUAUCACAGACCCGAUUUGCCCUAACGGAAAAUGACAUGAAAAGCACACAUUUGUAAAUCCCAAACUCUAAAAGUAAUUGUAAAGGUAGAUGCAAAUGAUUUGUGACAUUGUGGUUUCAAUAAAGAAUGUAAACAAGAUGCUGUGUUUUUAUUUACAGUAAUGAUGGACAACUGGAGUCAUUUUGAAAAGUUUUUCACAAGUGUACUGUAGUACUGCAGCAGGUGUAGUACUGUAGUACUGUAAUACUGUAGCAGGUGUAGUACUGUAGUACUGUAGCAGGUGUAGUACUGUAGCAGGUGUAGUACUGUAGUACUGUAGCAGGUGUAGUACUGUAGUAUGUGUAGUACUGUAGCAGGUGUAGUGCUGUAGUACCGUAGCAGGAAUAGUACUGUAGUAGGUGUAGAACUGUAGUGCUGUAGUACUGUAGCUGGUGUAGUGCUGUAGUACUGUAGCAGGUGUAGUACUGUAGUACUGUAGCAGGUGUAGUACUGUGGUACUGUAGCAGGUGUAGUACUGUAGCAGGUGUAGUACUGUAGCAGGUGUAGUCCAUCAAACAAUGUUUCCUAUUAGCAGGACAAUAGACUCUUCAUAGCCCAACUGUUGUAAUUGUGAAAAUCCCCAAAUUUGC
This 1866-nucleotide long non-coding RNA is filed under the name Salmo salar (Atlantic salmon). Its description in RNAcentral is "lncRNA (ENSSSAG00000113873.1)". Lineage: Eukaryota; Metazoa; Chordata; Actinopteri; Salmoniformes; Salmonidae. The record is from RNAcentral.